GCAGGAGAAGCGGGCCGAGGAUGCAGAGUUAUCUCGUAAACGCUCUCUGUAAACCAAUAAGUGCCAAACCUAUGCGCACUGACUUCGAACUCGCUGCCUAGGCAGUAGUUCAGUCCGUCAGCCCGGGGGCGCCCUCGCCCCGUCAGCUGGCGUCAUUUAGAGGGCCACUGCCCUAAGCCCGGGCCGUAGCGGCUUAGGGGACAUUCAUACGGCUGGGCCCGGAUCAGCCACCGCGUUUGCGCAGAUGGCCGGGGCCGAGAAAAUCCGACGCAAACUGCGCCCGGAGAAGUCCUGGCAACACAACAUCGGACGGGGGUUCAAUUCCCCCCAUCUCCACCA
RNAcentral lists this transfer-messenger RNA (339 nucleotides) under Arthrobacter deserti. RNAcentral describes it as "partial transfer-messenger RNA". It matches the Rfam family "transfer-messenger RNA". Rfam says of the family: Bacterial tmRNA, also known as 10Sa RNA or SsrA, is named for its dual tRNA and mRNA-like properties. Its role is to liberate the mRNA from a stalled ribosome. The record is from RNAcentral. Lineage: Bacteria; Bacillati; Actinomycetota; Actinomycetes; Micrococcales; Micrococcaceae.